This is a long non-coding RNA of Cercocebus atys (sooty mangabey), 1151 nucleotides long. RefSeq lists it as uncharacterized. The transcript has 2 exons. NCBI's taxonomy places the organism in Eukaryota, Metazoa, Chordata, Mammalia, Primates, Cercopithecidae. The record is from RefSeq and is a predicted model, not a curated record.
GUUUGCCUGUGGGGAUGAACAUCAAAUUCCAAAAACAAAAUGAAGCCAGCGGCCAGCCCACACCCCUGUGCCCUCCUGAUGAAGAUGCCCUGAGCUAGGCGGUUGACCCGCCUCAGAGUGAUGAAGAGAAGGUUUCUCGCCAUGUUGCCCAGGAUUUGAUUGGUGGAGUGACCAGUCCCAACCCUCCCUGCAAGGAAAACUGAGGACGUGAGUCUCUGGCAUUUUCAGCUUCUACUGUGAAGGGAAUUCUGCCUUCUAAAGACGGGGUUCCUUUAACAGACAGAGGAUCAGAUGCUGGAUGGCUCAAAAGAAUGAAAAUUGCCUUCUACAAUACCACCCUGCAAAGCUUCUUAAAAACACUGUUUUUUUUCUCUGACCCCCCAAGUGUCUUCCUUUCUCUUUCUCUCAGGUACUCCCUCUCUCUUUGACUCUGCACUCCUACCGUCUGCUUUUUUUACUGCCUUGUGGAGUUCCUUGAUUCCUUAGGGGGUGGUGGGGAAACUGAAUGCUUCCGCUUUAAUAAUUUUGUUCCUGCCACAUAUACAUGUGAGAGGGCCUAAAAUAUGUGUGCAGUUUUUACACAAGGGAUGUUGUGCUCUGCCCAAUGUUUGGCACCUUGCUUUGAACAGCAUAGAUCGGGGAUCAUUCCAUUUUCAUACAAACAGAGUGCUACCUUAUUCUCUUAGAUGGCUGAACAGUGAAUGAACCAUGAUUUCUUCUUCUUCUUUUUUUUUUUUUUUCCUGGAAGCGUGCUAGACGACGCACCAUGAUUUAUUUAGUACAUCUUCCCCUGAUUGACGUUAGGUUGUUGUCAGCGUUUAGUGACCGAAACAGUACUGCACCCUGAUGCAUAUGUAUUACUCGUCUGUGUUAAGUCGGGACGUUGCUUAGUCCAGCUGGAGGAGAAUUCUAGCCUUUAACACUCCUGGGUGUGAAGUCACAGUGGGCUGGGUGGGCCUCUCAGGGCCUGCUUCCAGAGAAGCCUCCGUAUGUCUUGUGGGUGGCUGUAGAACCUGGGAGUGAGGCUUGGCAGUAUAUCUGCAGUGAGAAAUGUCACAACCCAAACAGUAACUCAUACACAGAGCUUCACAUGUCUCAUUCCACAAGGAUCAGCAGCUGGACCAUUACCUGGAGCUACAGACCUGAUGAGA